UUAUAUGUAAGCUUAAACACCUUUGAAUCUCUUAAGUACUUGCUGCUCAUUUCAGAAUCUGACCAUGUUUACUUUAGAAGUUAAAACCAUGUUGACAAUGUCUAUAGUCACUGUCUAAAAAGAAAGUUGAAGUCAUUAAUUGGAAUAAAAGUGUGAAUAGAGUUAUGAAACACCAACAUAUCUUCUUUCAUAAAAUUAAUCUGACUCAGUAUUUAUUUGGGAGGGUACUCAAAUUUAGAUUUAAACCAUCAUAGCAUAACCUGGUAUUUCUUACAUAAAGUAGGAGUUACAGAAAUUUUUUCUCAGUGUUCAACUUUAUGGAUGGCUUACAGAACAAUAGUUUUUAAGUGGGCAUUCUAUUUCCCAUUCUUGUCUCCUUAUGCCAUUGGGAUAACCUUUUAUUUUUUUCUUAAGUC
This 416-nucleotide long non-coding RNA is filed under the name Bos taurus (domestic cattle). RNAcentral's name for it is "long non-coding RNA NONBTAT023399". Lineage: Eukaryota; Metazoa; Chordata; Mammalia; Artiodactyla; Bovidae. The record is from RNAcentral.